GACGAACGCUGGCGGCGUGCCUAAUACAUGCAAGUCGAACGAACUCUGGUAUUGAUUGGUGCUUGCAUCAUGAUUUACAUUUGAGUGAGUGGCGAACUGGUGAGUAACACGUGGGAAACCUGCCCAGAAGAGGGGGAUAACACCUGGAAACAGAUGCUAAUACCGCAUAACAACUUGGACCGCAUGGUCCGAGUUUGAAAGAUGGCUUCGGCUAUCACUUUUGGAUGGUCCCGCGGCGUAUUAGCUAGAUGGUGAGGUAACGGCUCACCAUGGCAAUGAUACGUAGCCGACCUGAGAGGGUAAUCGGCCACAUUGGGACUGAGACACGGCCCAAACUCCUACGGGAGGCAGCAGUAGGGAAUCUUCCACAAUGGACGAAAGUCUGAUGGAGCAACGCCGCGUGAGUGAAGAAGGGUUUCGGCUCGUAAAACUCUGUUGUUAAAGAAGAACAUAUCUGAGAGUAACUGUUCAGGUAUUGACGGUAUUUAACCAGAAAGCCACGGCUAACUACGUGCCAGCAGCCGCGGUAAUACGUAGGUGGCAAGCGUUGUCCGGAUUUAUUGGGCGUAAAGCGAGCGCAGGCGGUUUUUUAAGUCUGAUGUGAAAGCCUUCGGCUCAACCGAAGAAGUGCAUCGGAAACUGGGAAACUUGAGUGCAGAAGAGGACAGUGGAACUCCAUGUGUAGCGGUGAAAUGCGUAGAUAUAUGGAAGAACACCAGUGGCGAAGGCGGCUGUCUGGUCUGUAACUGACGCUGAGGCUCGAAAGUAUGGGUAGCAAACAGGAUUAGAUACCCUGGUAGUCCAUACCGUAAACGAUGAAUGCUAAGUGUUGGAGGGUUUCCGCCCUUCAGUGCUGCAGCUAACGCAUUAAGCAUUCCGCCUGGGGAGUACGGCCGCAAGGCUGAAACUCAAAGGAAUUGACGGGGGCCCGCACAAGCGGUGGAGCAUGUGGUUUAAUUCGAAGCUACGCGAAGAACCUUACCAGGUCUUGACAUACUAUGCAAAUCUAAGAGAUUAGACGUUCCCUUCGGGGACAUGGAUACAGGUGGUGCAUGGUUGUCGUCAGCUCGUGUCGUGAGAUGUUGGGUUAAGUCCCGCAACGAGCGCAACCCUUAUUAUCAGUUGCCAGCAUUAAGUUGGGCACUCUGGUGAGACUGCCGGUGACAAACCGGAGGAAGGUGGGGAUGACGUCAAAUCAUCAUGCCCCUUAUGACCUGGGCUACACACGUGCUACAAUGGAUGGUACAACGAGUUGCGAACUCGCGAGAGUAAGCUAAUCUCUUAAAGCCAUUCUCAGUUCGGAUUGUAGGCUGCAACUCGCCUACAUGAAGUCGGAAUCGCUAGUAAUCGCGGAUCAGCAUGCCGCGGUGAAUACGUUCCCGGGCCUUGUACACACCGCCCGUCACACCAUGAGAGUUUGUAACACCCAAAGUCGGUGGGGUAACCUUUUAGGAACCAGCCGCCUAAGGUGGGACAGAUGAUUAGGGUGAAG
RNAcentral lists this ribosomal RNA (1492 nucleotides) under Lactiplantibacillus argentoratensis. Its description in RNAcentral is "bacterial SSU rRNA". It matches the Rfam family "Bacterial small subunit ribosomal RNA". Lineage: Bacteria; Bacillati; Bacillota; Bacilli; Lactobacillales; Lactobacillaceae. The record is from RNAcentral.